GUGGGUGUAGCUCAGCGGCAGAGUGUAUACCUAGCAUAUAUAAGGCCCUGUGUUCACUUCCCAGCACACACA
Molecule: transfer RNA, 72 nt
Filed under: Fukomys damarensis (Damara mole-rat)
Lineage: Eukaryota; Metazoa; Chordata; Mammalia; Rodentia; Bathyergidae
Rfam family: tRNA
About the family: Transfer RNA (tRNA) molecules are approximately 80 nucleotides in length. Their secondary structure includes four short double-helical elements and three loops (D, anti-codon, and T loops). Further hydrogen bonds mediate the characteristic L-shaped molecular structure. tRNAs have two regions of fundamental functional importance: the anti-codon, which is responsible for specific mRNA codon recognition, and the 3' end, to which the tRNAs corresponding amino acid is attached (by aminoacyl-tRNA synthetases). tRNAs cope with the degeneracy of the genetic code in two manners: having more than one tRNA (with a specific anti-codon) for a particular amino acid; and 'wobble' base-pairing, i.e. permitting non-standard base-pairing at the 3rd anti-codon position.
Source: Rfam by way of RNAcentral